Molecule: long non-coding RNA, 1070 nt
Filed under: Homo sapiens (human)
Lineage: Eukaryota; Metazoa; Chordata; Mammalia; Primates; Hominidae
Description: HSALNT0328719
Source: RNAcentral
ACAUGAAUGUUGGUAGCAACUUUGUGAGAGCCAAAAAUCAGCAGCAAAUCAACAACUCAUUAACAACAAAAUGGAUAAAAUCAUGAUAUGCCCAUAGAGUGGACUGCUAUUCAGCAAUAAAUACAAAAAACAUGUUUUUGAUACAUAUAUCAAUGUGGCUGAAUGUUGAAAUAAGUAUGUUGAAUAAAAAAGCCAGAUAAAAUGAUCACAUACUGUAUAAUUAGCUUUAUCACAAUUCUAGAAAAUACAUAAUAUUGACAAAGUAAUCGGUGGUUCCCUGCAUAUGUAAUUGGAGGAAGGGAUGUUUUAUAAUAGUGAUAGUGGCAGGAGGCAGACAAAUUCCUAGGCAGAUCAGGGUGGGUCCCUGGUGAAAUCCAACUUUCAAGCCAAAGCCUGAAAAGCCUGAAAACCGGGCUGCCAGUUCCAGGUAGAAUCCACAACCGGAAGUGAGAACUUCCUGAUGCCUUUCAGCCAAUCAAAUGGUUCUUCUUUCAGAGCCCACCCAUGGACCAAUCAGCAUGCACGUCCUUCAUUCUGAGCAUAUAAAAACCCCUGGACUCGGCCACAGCUGUCGACUACCAGGCUGCGUUAGGAGCUACCGUCUUCAGCUUUUUCUCGCUGCUGAGAGCUGUUUUGUUACUCAGUAAAACUCUUCUCCACCGUGCUCACCCUUCAGUUGACCGUGCAACUUCAUUCUUCCUGGACAUAAACCCGGGACCCACAGAACAGCGGGUGCAAAAAGGGCUGUAACGCUUUCCUGGCCGGAUCGCCAAGCUGCAGGUAAGAUGUGCCUGCUUCACCUACUGGCGUGAAUGUAAACUUUCUGAGACCUUCCCAGCCAUGUGGAACUACAUGAUCUGACAUAUUAAACUGAGGCAUAAAAGACAGGUGAUUGUCCACAGUUGCAGAGUUGCCAAGGUUCAGAAUUGAGACCUUAACCUUUGCCUUCAAAUCUCAGGAUCAGUGUUGUUGUUUUUACCAUGGUCACAUUUCAUUUCAUUUUUAGUGACUCUGCAAUGACCAUGGACAUUAUUUUUUAAUUGUUAAGGUAAACAUGAUUUGAAAUAUAU